ACAUUGUAUUGAGCACUUGGGCAUCCAAGUGGUUCGAAAGCUCCGGCGGUGCAGGAUGAGCCCGCGGCCUAUCAGCUUGUUGGUGAGGUAAUGGCUCACCAAGGCGACGACGGGUAGCCGGCCUGAGAGGGCGACCGGCCACACUGGGACUGAGACACGGCCCAGACUCCUACGGGAGGCAGCAGUGGGGAAUAUUGCACAAUGGGCGAAAGCCUGAUGCAGCGACGCCGCGUGAGGGAUGACGGCCUUCGGGUUGUAAACCUCUUUCAGCAGGGAAGAAGCGAAAGUGACGGUACCUGCAGAAGAAGCGCCGGCUAACUACGUGCCAGCAGCCGCGGUAAUACGUAGGGCGCAAGCGUUGUCCGGAAUUAUUGGGCGUAAAGAGCUCGUAGGCGGCUUGUCACGUCGGUUGUGAAAGCCCGGGGCUUAACCCCGGGUCUGCAGUCGAUACGGGCAGGCUAGAGUUCGGUAGGGGAGAUCGGUUUUCCUGGUGA
This 494-nucleotide ribosomal RNA is filed under the name Streptomyces sp. bgr2. Its description in RNAcentral is "bacterial SSU rRNA". It matches the Rfam family "Bacterial small subunit ribosomal RNA", at positions 168 to 676 of the family's 1533-position model. Lineage: Bacteria; Bacillati; Actinomycetota; Actinomycetes; Kitasatosporales; Streptomycetaceae. The record is from RNAcentral.